Regulatory RNA element from Clostridium argentinense CDC 2741, 38 nucleotides. It matches the Rfam family "Selenocysteine insertion sequence 4". The record is from Rfam. NCBI's taxonomy places the organism in Bacteria, Bacillati, Bacillota, Clostridia, Eubacteriales, Clostridiaceae.
GGAACUUGUACACGUUGCGGAGCAACGUUAGUUAAAGA